CCUACGGGAGGCAGCAGUAGGGAAUUUUGCGCAAUGGGCGAAAGCCUGACGCAGCAACACCGCGUGAAUGUUAAGCCCUUCGGGGUGUAAAGUUCUGUCAAUAGGGACGAAUUUUGACUGUACCUAUAAAGGAAGCACCGGCUAACUCCGUGCCAGCAGCCGCGGUAAUACGGGGGGUGCAAGCGUUGUCCGGAUUUAUUGGGUUUAAAGGGUGCGUAGGCUGUGAGGUAAGUCAGCGGUGAAAUGCCCCCGCUCAACGGGGUGAAGUGCCAUUGAUACUGCCUUGCUGGAAUGCGGAUGCCGUGGGAGGAAUGUGUGGUGUAGCGGUGAAAUGCAUAGAUAUCACACAGAACACCGAUUGCGAAGGCAUCUCACGAAUCCGCGAUUGACGCUGAUGCACGAAAGCGUGGGUAUCAAACAGGAUUAGAUACCCGUGUAGUC
Molecule: ribosomal RNA, 441 nt
Filed under: uncultured bacterium
Lineage: Bacteria
Description: partial 16S ribosomal RNA
Rfam family: Bacterial small subunit ribosomal RNA
Source: RNAcentral